UGGAUCCAGACUUUGAUUCUGGCUCAGGAUGAACGCUAGCUACAGGCUUAACACAUGCAAGUCGAGGGGAAACGACAUCGAAAGCUUGCUUUUGAUGGGCGUCGACCGGCGCACGGGUGAGUAACGCGUAUCCAACCUGCCCACCACUUGGGGAUAACCUUGCGAAAGUAAGACUAAUACCCAAUGACGUCUCUAGAAGACAUCUGAAAGAGAUUAAAGAUUUAUCGGUGAUGGAUGGGGAUGCGUCUGAUUAGCUUGUUGGCGGGGUAACGGCCCACCAAGGCGACGAUCAGUAGGGGUUCUGAGAGGAAGGUCCCCCACAUUGGAACUGAGACACGGUCCAAACUCCUACGGGAGGCAGCAGUGAGGAAUAUUGGUCAAUGGGCGAGAGCCUGAACCAGCCAAGUAGCGUGCAGGAUGACGGCCCUAUGGGUUGUAAACUGCUUUUAUAAGGGAAUAAAGUGAGUCUCGUGAGACUUUUUGCAUGUACCUUAUGAAUAAGGACCGGCUAAUUCCGUGCCAGCAGCCGCGGUAAUACGGAAGGUCCGGGCGUUAUCCGGAUUUAUUGGGUUUAAAGGGAGCGUAGGCCGGAGAUUAAGCGUGUUGUGAAAUGUAGACGCUCAACGUCUGCACUGCAGCGCGAACUGGUUUCCUUGAGUACGCACAAAGUGGGCGGAAUUCGUGGUGUAGCGGUGAAAUGCUUAGAUAUCACGAAGAACUCCGAUUGCGAAGGCAGCUCACUGGAGCGCAACUGACGCUGAAGCUCGAAAGUGCGGGUAUCGAACAGGAUUAGAUACCCUGGUAGUCCGCACGGUAAACGAUGGAUGCCCGCUGUUGGUCUGAAUAGGUCAGCGGCCAAGCGAAAGCAUUAAGCAUCCCACCUGGGGAGUACGCCGGCAACGGUGCAACUCAAAUGAAUUGACGGA
This 926-nucleotide ribosomal RNA is filed under the name uncultured Bacteroidota bacterium. Its description in RNAcentral is "bacterial SSU rRNA". It matches the Rfam family "Bacterial small subunit ribosomal RNA", at positions 1 to 917 of the family's 1533-position model. Lineage: Bacteria; Pseudomonadati; Bacteroidota. The record is from RNAcentral.